This 2477-nucleotide long non-coding RNA is filed under the name Helianthus annuus (common sunflower). Its description in RNAcentral is "hypothetical non coding rna". The record is from RNAcentral. Lineage: Eukaryota; Viridiplantae; Streptophyta; Magnoliopsida; Asterales; Asteraceae.
AUGACUUCACUCCUACUCCUACUGAGGGACAACCAAGGAGGAGCUGUUGACAAUCCUUAGAUGUUGAUAGCGGUUGUACCAGAGAGAUAUAAGGUAACAUCUCACUGUUGCAAAAAGGUAUAUUUAUAUACAGUCGAUAUGUUUCCUUUGAAGGAGAUGAGAGAAGUAAGACAAGAUCAGUGAAAAGGUACAAAUUUAAAAUUUCGUGUUCUAAUCUUGAUAUUGAUUUGUCUUGAAUCUGAUGGCAGAACGGUUAAGCAAAAACUUUAAAAAUAUUUUCAUUUUCUUUUGUUCCUAUCUCUAUACUUACGUUUUUGUUAUUAGGUAAAUUUCGCAUAGGAUUUAUGCAAAAAUUUAGGGGGACAGAGAGAGAUAUCUGUGAAUAUGUUUUAAAAUAAGAAAAUACAAAAACAUUUGAAAAAUAGAAAAAUCCAAAAAGAUUUUAUUGCAUAUAUGGGAAAUGGAUUGAAUUUUCACUAUGUGGAUUAAGGCUGACUCAUGUAAGACUAGUAUUGAAAUGGUAUGACUCUAGAGCGAUAUGUUGGUAGGCUUUAUCAUGAUGGCUGAAAACUUUGACUGGUCCUGUGCAGAACAUAAAAUUACAUUAUGACCUUAGGAAAAAACGUCACUUAGAAUUAGGACAUUUCUAUUUGAAUGCUUGUGUGACGUCCUGAUACGCACAAUUUUGUUCUAGUUCUGAAAUCUUUUCUGACAAACUCGUGUAUCUCCUCUGUUUUGCGUGAGCAAAGACCUGGAGGUGCUAGGCAACGUCAGCUUCUGAUGCAUCCAAAUACAUGCUGGCUAGUUGUGCAUUGUCACACUAUAGAUUAAUUACACCCGAAAGAGGCCCCCUAGUGUUCAAAAGAAACCCGAAAAAAUCUAUAUCAAACUGAAAAAUUCAUUUGAUCUGUAUAUUAUAUCCAUCUCUCUGCAAAUGAUCUAUUUUGUUCUGUUCUCAACCAAAUCUCAGUCAAGGUUUCAGAAUCCUAGAACAGGCUUGUGAGAAUAUGUGGUAGGGAAACUGCAUGCAUGAUAGAGUGUACAGAUUAAAAUUCCAGGAUUUGAUUGUGAUUUGUUUGGGUGUUCAUAUUAAAUAAACUAAAACAUGAUAAAUCAGUUACAGACCGUCAUAUGGAAAAGGCCUAAGGAGAUAAGUUUAAGUGGACAAACAUACUGGCAAUCGCUCAGAUCAUCCAAAGUAAAUCAGUGUUGGUAAGUGUAGUCUGGCCCGAAACACUGUGAUUUGAUCCCAUUGCAAUUGUAAUAUUAGUUUCUUUGUUUAUUUGUGUUUCAGUUUAUAUUAUUAGAUUUUACAAUUAAAAAAAUCAAAAAGAGUGUUUUAUUUUUAUAAAAUUAAAAAUCCAAAAUAGGGUGUUUAUUUGUUUUAUUAAAAAAAUAACCGUUCUUGAAGAUUUGAUUGAUCAUCAUAAGCUGAAAGAAAAUUUGAAUUGUGAGAUCUGAGUACAAAUAUUGGAUGUACCAAGUGUUCAUGUGGUAUUUCCCUCUGUUGCUUAGAAAUGUUUGCUUUUGAGUUUCUGAGCAUGUGCAGAACUUGAUUUAAAUCAAGAAACAGGGGUUGUUGAAUAUUGAGAUGAUGUUAGCUGCUAACAAAGCAUGAAGCAACACAACAACAAGAUGUGCCCGAGUCAGAAGAAGCACAUACGAGUCAUUAUCUGACAAUGAUAGUACAUUUGAAGAAGUACUUGUGAACUUGCUUGAAAGAGAAAAGAUUGAUAAAGAAAAGAGAUACUGAGAAUCCUCCUCUUGCAUUCUUUUCAACAAGAUUUUCAAGCAAAAUUGAUCAUGAUCAAGAAGAAUAAAGAGCCCAAGUUUGAAGAUGACAAGAUGAAGUAUCUUCUCACAGAGACGUGCAAAAUAAGUAGUUUGAUAAAGACGGCAUAAACCUAGGGGGAUAUUGUAAGGCCAUAUAAUUUAGUAGGUUUACGCUUAUCUUUAUCAAAAACAAUUAUAAGUUAUUUGGACUUUUAGUUUACUAGUGGGCUUGGGUUAGGCCAUGUGGGUUGAGUUCUUUGUGGACCCUAUAUAAUGUCUUGUUUAGUUCAUUAUUAGGGUUAGCACAUGAGAGAGAGCUUGAGGGGCGAGUUAGGUUGUUGAUUGUUUUCAAAAACAUUGUAAUUGUGUACCACACAAUUCUCUGAAAUCGUGUGCACUUAAUCUUAAUACAAUCAACUUUGAUCUUCAUUCUUCUACAUAUUUUCUUAGUUUUCUCCACUAUGAUUUACCAGGCCCGAGUGGCCAUGUUCGUUGGAACGGGACUACCUUGGGAGGGGGGGUGGCAGAGGCAUGAUAGGUUAAGGAUGACGGGAGUGACCGAUUUUGGCAGAGUAAUGGCCUUAACAAAGGCGCGCGGGUAAAUGACGGCACGACAUGCAUAACGGAGGCCAUACAUGGGAUCCCAGGUGUGCAUGAGAUCAAGGAGUGGAAAGGUAUAAAGAAAUAACGAGAUGGUAGUCUUU